UGAGCAAUCUGCCCUUCUCAUCGGAAUAAAGCGUUGGAAACGACGUCUAAUGCCGAAUACGACCUCCUUUCGCAUGAUCGGAGGUGGAAAGCUCCGGCGGAGAAGGAUGAGCUCGCGGCCUAUCAGCUAGUUGGUGUGGGUAAUGGCUCACCAAGGCGACGACGGGUAGCCGGCCUGAGAGGGUGACCGGCCACACUGGGACUGAGAUACGGCCCAGACUCCGUAGGAGG
RNAcentral lists this ribosomal RNA (230 nucleotides) under uncultured bacterium. RNAcentral's name for it is "partial 16S ribosomal RNA". It matches the Rfam family "Bacterial small subunit ribosomal RNA", at positions 118 to 348 of the family's 1533-position model. The record is from RNAcentral.